AACCUCAUCAACCCUGUGAACAUACCUAUAACGUUGCCUCGGCGGGAACAGACGGCCCCGUAACACGGGCCGCCCCCGCCAGAGGACCCCCUAACUCUGUUUCUAUAAUGUUUCUUCUGAGUAAACAAGCAAAUAAAUUAAAACUUUCAACAACGGAUCUCUUGGCUCUGGCAUCGAUGAAGAACGCAGCGAAAUGCGAUAAGUAAUGUGAAUUGCAGAAUUCAGUGAAUCAUCGAAUCUUUGAACGCACAUUGCGCCCGCCAGUAUUCUGGCGGGCAUGCCUGUUCGAGCGUCAUUACAACCCUCAGGCCCCCGGGCCUGGCGUUGGGGAUCGGCGGAAGCCCCCUGCGGGCACAACGCCGUCCCCCAAAUACAGUGGCGGUCCCGCCGCAGCUUCCAUUGCGUAGUAGCUAACACCUCGCAACUGGAGAGCGGCGCGGCCACGCCGUAAAACACCCAACUUCUGAAUGUUGACCUCGAAUCAGGUAGGAAUACCCGCUGAACUUAAGCAUAUCAA
RNAcentral lists this ribosomal RNA (517 nucleotides) under fungal sp. AM2013. Its description in RNAcentral is "eukaryotic LSU rRNA". The stretch from base 142 to 295 matches the Rfam family "5.8S ribosomal RNA". Lineage: Eukaryota; Fungi. The record is from RNAcentral.